GACGAACGCUGGCGGCGCGCUUAACACAUGCAAGUCGAACGGAAAGGCCUGCUUUCCCUUGUGGAUUGCGGGUACUCGCGUGGCGAACGGGUGAGUAACACGUGAGUGAUCUGCCCCCAACUUGGGUAUAAGCCUGGGAAACUGGGUCUAAUUCCCGAUAGGACUGCAGGGUGGUGCCUGUGGUGGAAAACGAUUUUCUAGUGGUUGGGGAUGAGCUCGGGGCCUAUCAGCUUGUUGGUGGGGUAAUGGCCUACCAGGGCGGGGACGGGUAGCCGGCCUGGGAGGGUGGACGGGCACAGUGGGACUGAGAUACGGCCCAGACUCCUACGGGAGGCAGCAGUGGGGAAGAAUGCAGAAUGGGCGGAAGCCUGAUGCAGCGACGCCGCGUGGGGGAUGACGGGCUUCGGGUUGUAAACUCCUUUCGACCGCGAGGAAGCCACCUGGUUGGAAGGGUGGUGACGGUAGUGGUAGAAGAAGCACCGGCUAACUACGUG
Molecule: ribosomal RNA, 494 nt
Filed under: uncultured bacterium
Lineage: Bacteria
Description: partial 16S ribosomal RNA
Rfam family: Bacterial small subunit ribosomal RNA
Source: RNAcentral